ACGUCACACCCACUUUUACCGGUAGGUACACAUCGUACCUCUCGGCACGUGCUUUGAAAAAAGCUCGUGAAGGUGUUGCGUACCUACAUCCAGAUGAGAUAUUCACCAACCAUCCUUCCAAGUCACGUGCGUUACGUGAUACUGGCGUAGGCAUGUCUUCUGUUUCCAGGAUCCUGUAGGAAGCAGUAUUCCGUAUUCAUACCAUGGAAAUGAAGGUUGAUCAACCAUCUGUUUACAACAUUCCAAAAAUCACCUGGGAUAGUCUUUGAAAAUGAUCGAGUCAUUUGGAGUUCGGAGAGUGCAAAGACACUGUUUGUGCUGUAUUCCUGACUGCCAGAGACGAAAAAUUGGGGAAAUCUACAGAAAGCAGUCUCUCACGUGUCUUGCCUUUGUCAAUAAGCUUCAGGGCGAACCGAAGAACUCUCGGUGAACGAACUGAAUUGAACCGGAUUGCAGCUGCUUUGUAGUGCCAAUUACUUCGGGAAACAUCGGGAUUCAAAUUUUUGUCGAAUGUAUCAGAAAAAGGAUGAGAGGGAAGAAUUGACGGCGACGGAUUAAACGGUAUCUGGAAAUAGUUACUGAAAAGAUUCGUUGAUAUAGAACUCUAGCACAGUCAAUACGUCAAAUAUUUUAGAAAAUUGAAAUACUUUUCGAAAUAAAAUUAACACGAAUAUCAUCUACUUUAAUUGUGUUAUUUAAAAAAGCUGAAAUUUUGAGAGUUUAUUUUCGUAUGUAAAUUCGACCUUGCAUGUAUACCAAACUUCAAAUAUUUGAAUGGGGGAAAAGAUUUGUUGGUCUUGUUUGUAUAUUAAAUAACUGAACAAUC
This 826-nucleotide long non-coding RNA is filed under the name Neodiprion pinetum (white pine sawfly). RNAcentral's name for it is "uncharacterized LOC124214299". The record is from RNAcentral. Lineage: Eukaryota; Metazoa; Arthropoda; Insecta; Hymenoptera; Diprionidae.